GUUGAGUCCUUUUGAUGACAGCAUGAGUUCUGAGAACAAAGCUUCCAGCCUGUGUAAUGAGAGCUCAGAGCCUGAAAUAGCUGCUCUUCGCAUGCAAACACAGGGCCUGAGCCGAAGCUUUGACAGCGUGUUUUUGUCAUUUGUAAAACUCAGAGGGUUCCUCCAAGACCACAGAACAGGUGUGUCUUUCAUGAAGGCAAGCCCUCCACCCGGCCUUGCGUCCAGUUGGCCUCUUGUCGGAUCCCCUUUAGAAGUCAACCAGUUGUCCGGCCGUCCAGCCCAGGCUAUCCUCAUGUUCAUGUAUGAACCUGCUUCUGAACUCUGCAGCCCAGAGAAGACUCGGCAAAGCUGGGGGGCCACUGUGCCUGCAGGCUCCCCUGCUGGGGGGCCACCCCUCAGCCCACCUAAGGAGUUCCACACAGGGCAUGGUCCAGUCUUUGUGUCAGCCAGCCUUCACCAGUACCCCUCAUCCCUCCCACCAUGCGGAUCAUCAGAAUCAAAGCCCAGGGUCGGGCUGGAAUCCUGUACUUCCCUUUUCCCCCAAAAUAUCUACCUUGAAAGAAUUUUUGCAAAUCAAAUCAUAAGCGCAUUAGAGUUAAUUAUAUACUAUUAAAUUCACUGCUGUGGCAAAGCCUUGGAAAAUGAAGAAUCUUUUUCUAAUUAAAAUAAACAAAUUUCAGUUCAC
Bos indicus x Bos taurus (hybrid cattle) is the source of this 685-nucleotide long non-coding RNA. The record is from Ensembl. Lineage: Eukaryota; Metazoa; Chordata; Mammalia; Artiodactyla; Bovidae.